RNAcentral lists this ribosomal RNA (497 nucleotides) under uncultured bacterium. RNAcentral describes it as "partial 16S ribosomal RNA". It matches the Rfam family "Bacterial small subunit ribosomal RNA", at positions 28 to 507 of the family's 1533-position model. The record is from RNAcentral.
GAUGAACGCUGGCGGCGUGCCUAAUACAUGCAAGUCGAGCGACCGGACGAUAAGCUUGCUUCUCUGAUGUUAGCGGCGGACGGGUGAGUAACACGUGGAUCACCUACCUAUAUGACUGGGAUAACUUCGGGAAACCGGAGCUACUACCGGCUAAUAUUUUGUACUGCAUGGUUCAAGAGUGAAAGACGGUCUUGCUGUCACUUAUAGCUGGUUCCGCGCUGCAUUAGCUAGUUGGUAAGGUAACGGCUUACCAAGGCAACGAUGCAUAGCCGACCUGAGAGGGUGAUCGGCCACACUGGAACUGAGACACGGUCCAGACUCCUACGGGAGGCAGCAGUAGGGAAUCUUCCGCAAUGGGCGAAAGCCUGACGGAGCAACGCCGCGUGAGUGAUGAAGGUCUUCGGAUCGUAAAACUCUGUUAUUAGGGAAGAACAUAUGUGUAAGUAACUGUGCACAUCUUGACGGUACCUAAUCAGAAAGCCACGGCUAACUACGUG